Molecule: long non-coding RNA, 925 nt
Filed under: Homo sapiens (human)
Lineage: Eukaryota; Metazoa; Chordata; Mammalia; Primates; Hominidae
Description: non-protein coding lnc-RAB6D-3:2
Source: RNAcentral
CAGUGUUUCUGGCCCCUAAGUAUUGCUGCCUUGUGUAUUUUAUUUAGUAUACAGCAAUAAAAAGAGUCCUGUGAAUUAUUAAAUCAUUUCAAUAAGUCAGCUAACAACAUUUACAUAUAGUUGCUACACAGAAAGUAACACAAAUUAUUUCCUCUUUUGCUCAUAUUCAAACAGGCUUGAGUGACAACUUGAGGACAAGGCGGCGCCUCAACAAGAUUUCACACAGCAGCUACGGGGGCCAGAGAAGCAGCACCGCAUGGUGUGGCAGGAGAAGGAGGACAUGCACAAGCAAUUGGUUGAAGCUUCAGAGACAUUGAAAUCCCAAGCCAAAGAACUGAAAGAUGCCCAUCAGCAGCAAAAGCUGGCCCUGCAGGAGUUCUUGGAGCUCAAUGAGCUCAUGGCAGAGCUCUACUCCCAGAAGCAGAAGGUGUGGGACAAGGAGGAGGAGAUGGAAGUAGCCAUGCAGAAAGCUGACAUGAUGUGGCAGGAGAUCUGAAGAUCCAAGAAGCUCAGAAAGAGGAUGCUGUUUAGCCAGAUGCGGUGGCUCACGCCUGUAAUCCCAGCACUUUGGGAGGUCGAGGCGGGUGGAUGGCCUGAGGUCAGGAGUUUGAGACCAGCCUGGCCAACAUGGUGAAACCCUGUCUCUAUUAAAAAUGCAAAAAUUAACCAGGCAUGGUAUUGGGUGCCUGUAAUCCUAGCUACUUGGGAGGCUGAAGCAGGAGAAUUGCUUGAACCUGGGAGGCGGAGGUUGCAGUGAGCCAAGAUCAUGCCACUGCACUCCAGCCUGGGCAACAAGAGCAAAACUCUGUCUCAAAAAAAAAAAAGGGGGGGAGGAAGCUAUUUAGAUAUUUCAGCGAUGGUAUUGACUGGACUUUUGUAUGACCUUAAUAAAACAUCUUUGAAAACUUGGGCUGCAUUAUGUAAA